AAGACUACUUUCAGGGAUCAUUUCUAUAGUUUGCUACUAGGGAAGUUUUUGUGAACGUGUAAAGCACCAGAAAUAGAGGAUUGCUAU
Molecule: small nucleolar RNA, 87 nt
Filed under: Ursus americanus (American black bear)
Lineage: Eukaryota; Metazoa; Chordata; Mammalia; Carnivora; Ursidae
Also listed under: 2 other names
Description: Small nucleolar RNA U3
Rfam family: Small nucleolar RNA U3
About the family: Small nucleolar RNAs (snoRNAs) are involved in the processing and modification of rRNA in the nucleolus.
Source: Rfam by way of RNAcentral